UCUCAGUUCGGACUGUAGGCUGCAACUCGCCUACACGAAGUCGGAAUCGCUAGUAAUCGCGGAUCAGCAUGCCGCGGUGAAUACGUUCCGGGCCUUGUACACACCGCCCGUCACACCAUGGGAGUUUGUAACGCCCAAAGUCGGUGGCCUAACCUUUAUGGAGGGAGCCGCCUAAGGCGGGACAGAUGACUGGGGUGAAGUCGUAACAAGGUAAC
This 215-nucleotide ribosomal RNA is filed under the name uncultured bacterium. Its description in RNAcentral is "partial 16S ribosomal RNA". It matches the Rfam family "Bacterial small subunit ribosomal RNA", at positions 1286 to 1500 of the family's 1533-position model. The record is from RNAcentral.